Molecule: ribosomal RNA, 499 nt
Filed under: uncultured bacterium
Lineage: Bacteria
Description: partial 16S ribosomal RNA
Rfam family: Bacterial small subunit ribosomal RNA
Source: RNAcentral
UGGGGAAUAUUGCACAAUGGGCGAAAGCCUGAUGCAGCGACGCCGCGUGCGGGAUGAAGGCCUUCGGGUUGUAAACCGCUUUUGAUUGGGAGCAAGCGAGAGUGAGUGUACCUUUCGAAUAAGCACCGGCUAACUACGUGCCAGCAGCCGCGGUAAUACGUAGGGUGCAAGCGUUAUCCGGAAUUAUUGGGCGUAAAGAGCUCGUAGGCGGUUUGUCGCGUCUGGUGUGAAAGUCCAUCGCUUAACGGUGGAUCUGCGCCGGGUACGGGCAGGCUAGAGUGCGACAGGGGAGACUGGAAUUCCCGGUGUAACGGUGGAAUGUGUAGAUAUCGGGAAGAACACCAAUGGCGAAGGCAGGUCUCUGGGUCGUCACUGACGCUGAGGAGCGAAAGCGUGGGGAGCGAACAGGAUUAGAUACCCUGGUAGUCCACGCCGUAAACGGUGGAUGCUGGAUGUGGGGCCCAUUCCACGGGUUCCGUGUCGGAGCUAACGCGUUAAG